GACGAACGCUGGCGGCGUGCUUAACACAUGCAAGUCGAACGGAAAGGCCCUGCUUUUGUGGGGUGCUCGAGUGGCGAACGGGUGAGUAACACGUGAGUAACCUGCCCUUGACUUUGGGAUAACUUCAGGAAACUGGGGCUAAUACCGGAUAGGAGCUCCUGCUGCAUGGUGGGGGUUGGAAAGUUUCGGCGGUUGGGGAUGGACUCGCGGCUUAUCAGCUUGUUGGUGGGGUAGUGGCUUACCAAGGCUUUGACGGGUAGCCGGCCUGAGAGGGUGACCGGCCACAUUGGGGCUUGAGAUACGGCCCAGACUCCUACGGGAGGCAGCAGUGGGGAAUAUUGCACAAUGGGCGGAAGCCUGAUGCAGCAACGCCGCGUGCGGGAUGACGGCCUUCGGGUUGUAAACCGCUUUCGCCUGUGACGAAGCGUGAGUGACGGUAAUGGGUAAAGAAGCACCGGCUAACUACGUG
RNAcentral lists this ribosomal RNA (469 nucleotides) under uncultured bacterium. RNAcentral describes it as "partial 16S ribosomal RNA". It matches the Rfam family "Bacterial small subunit ribosomal RNA", at positions 28 to 507 of the family's 1533-position model. The record is from RNAcentral.